AAUCUUGCCAUGAGAAGAGCAAUAA
This 25-nucleotide non-coding RNA is filed under the name Arabidopsis thaliana (thale cress). Lineage: Eukaryota; Viridiplantae; Streptophyta; Magnoliopsida; Brassicales; Brassicaceae. The record is from RNAcentral.